AAAAUAGUAAUCAACUUUGAGAAGUGAAGAGGCAAAGGGGGAGACAUAUAUAAUUCAUAAAAUAGCUACUGGAGGUAUUAGAACAAAUAUGAUGAAAAUUGAGUAUUCUGGAAUACACUAAACAGAGGACUCCAAGAAAUGAGAAACAGAUAAAGCUACACAAAUGGAAGGAACUUGGCUUCUGGAAGGCAUGGAACAAGGACCUCGCAGACUGCAAGGAUGUAUAUAAGCAAUAAAUAAGAUUUUAUUGUGAUAUACUACUGUGGUUUUAGAGAUUGUUAAAUGGACAAGAAUUACUAGAACUGACUAACACAGGUUUGGCUAUUUUUUUUUCUUUUGUAAGGAGUAGAGUAGCACAUAAUUAUAAAGAUUUCAAUGAAUUAUGUUGAGAAACUUUUAUUAUUUGAAUUCUGGUCUAAUUUAAUAAAUCUGGGUCCCAAAUACUCAUUAAUUCCUCAUGAUCUGAAUGCCACUCCAAGGAUACACAAUCUUAGUGUCAUAUCAGCAAGAGCUGGGAAGGUGAGAGAGGAGAGGAAAGAGUCUAAAAAUCUCUCUAUAGGGAAUUCUUAUUUGAAAGCCAGUCUAAAAACAAAGGUUUUUUUUAUUUGUUUGUUUGUUUGUUUUUGAGCCAGUUGUAGCAAUGUCCUAUGUGAGGAACACUUGGGGGCCCACUGAGAGAGGUACAAUGUCAAAGGAAAAACAAGGUGAAGAAUCAAUGUGAAAGAAAUUUCAACAACCAAAGAGAUAGUAAUUUUUAAACAGCUAUAUCCAACGUGUUAUAUAUGCUGUGAUUGCCUUCGCAGAGGUCACUGAAACCAAAGUCCAGCUCAGGGGACAUUUGAUUGCUGAUUCAAAAGGAUGCAUCAUAAGAUUAAGAUGUUAUGUACAAAUCAAGAAAUGGUUCCAAAACAAGAAAUUAAGUAUGCUGAGAAAUUCAGUAUCUGUUGACUAUCUGAGAUUUUUCAAUCAAUCCCUAAAACAGAAUGGUGAACAUAAGGUUGUAACCAAUUCCACUGCUAAAUCAUUUCAGAAUUGUUAAAAAUUCCUGUUAAUGUGGAAAACUCUAGUACUUAAAUAUUUAAAAGUAUUGUGCGGUUGUCUAAAUCUCUUCACAGAUCUCUAAGAACUUGUUUUAUGAAUCUGGGUGCCUCAGUAUUGGGUGCCUACAUAUUUAGGAUAGUUAGCUCUUCUUUAGGAUUGAAUCCUUUAUCAUUAUGC
This 1218-nucleotide long non-coding RNA is filed under the name Homo sapiens (human). RNAcentral describes it as "HSALNT0086324". Lineage: Eukaryota; Metazoa; Chordata; Mammalia; Primates; Hominidae. The record is from RNAcentral.